This is a long non-coding RNA of Austrofundulus limnaeus, 1437 nucleotides long. RefSeq lists it as uncharacterized. Lineage: Eukaryota; Metazoa; Chordata; Actinopteri; Cyprinodontiformes; Rivulidae. The transcript has 4 exons. The record is from RefSeq and is a predicted model, not a curated record.
UUAAAUUAUGCAUUAAUUGAAGUUUGGAGUCAUUUUAAAAUGUGUCUUUUCAGAACCGCAUCUGACACUUGCGACGGUCGGGAGGUGGGAGACGGCCAGGCGAGGUGUGGUGGUGGUGUAGCGGUGUGUGACUGUCUUCUGAAUAAAUGAAAACUAUGUGACACAGGCUCUUUUAUGCAGCUUACCCACAGUGACUGCUGGAGACAGACACCAGCUCCCAUAGCAACUCUGAACAGAUAAGGCUGGACUAUUUCAAAGCAUUUCUCUCACUGAGCUCACUGCUUGGACUCCAAGAAGAAGUCUGCCUUUCAUUUAUCUGCUUUUAUACUCAACGGGCCUCAGAUCACCUGCCUCACACCUGCUGAUAGGUGUUAACAAACUCAUCAAACACCAAUCAGAUUUCAGCUGACUGCCUGCCUUGUUAACAACUUCCUGGAAAAAAGUGCUCACUGUACCUGAACUCACCUGCUGCCAGUCAGGUUUCAGAGUCAAGCUUGUCUCAUACAUGAACAGAUCCUUCUCGCAGUCAAAAGGGUAGUGGCCCCUGCUGAAAACUGGUUGGCCUUGAAGGCCCUUGUCCAGUCACUGCUGACUCUUCUAUUUCAAAUGUAUGUAAAUUAAGCAAUUUCUAAUAAAUAGGCAGGACUUUUAGAUACCAAGGAUAACUCAGCAAUCAGCAUGCUUACUAGUAUUUUGCACUGCAGUGGCAAGCUGUUACUGAUUUACAGCAUAUCAGCCUACACAGAUGAAGUGGAGCAGCUGACAGCGUGGUGCACAGACAACAAAUUGSUCCUGAACACAGCUUAGACCAAGAAGCUUGUUGUGGAGUUCGGGAAAAAGGAAAUCCAACCACAUAUCCAAAGGGACUGUGUGAGAGUGUGUCAGACUUCAGUUUCAUGGGGAGUCCGCAUCACAGAAGACUUAAACUGGGGAGCAAAUACAGGAGAGCUGGUGAAGAAAGCCCAGCAAAAACCAUAUUUCCUGAGAAUUCUCAGAAUAACAUUUCUCAGCUGGUGUACUUCUUUUGCUGCUCUAUACAGAGUGCCCUGUGCUACUGCCKCUGUGUGUGGUUGUCCAGCUGCACAGUUGCACAAAGGGAAAACACUUCAGAGGAUCAUUAAGACUGCCCAGGAGAUCACUGGAUGCUCUUUGCCCUCUCUUGAAGAACUGCAGCUCCCACUGCUUCAGGAAAACCAGAAACAUUUUAAAAGAUUCCCCGUGUUCCAAUCACAGCCAUCAGACAGGAGGUACAAGAAACAACRACAAAUAGACCUAACAGCUUUUAUCCCACAGCUAUCAGGGUAAUACAUGUCACAUAGAAUCUUUAAUGUAAUGUAUGCACAAUAACCAUGUGCAAUCAUUUCUUCACGCACAAAAUGGRCUCUGCCACAUGACUGUUUUGUAUCUUGUGAAGUUGUUUUUCUCCUUACAUUUUAU